Molecule: ribosomal RNA, 306 nt
Filed under: uncultured Spirochaeta sp.
Lineage: Bacteria; Pseudomonadati; Spirochaetota; Spirochaetia; Spirochaetales; Spirochaetaceae
Description: bacterial SSU rRNA
Rfam family: Bacterial small subunit ribosomal RNA
Source: RNAcentral
GGGUUAAGUCCCGCAACGAGCGCAACCCCUCGCUGCCUGUUGCCACCACGAGAGGUGGGGACUCAGGCGGGACCGCCGGUGACAAACCGGAGGAAGGUGGGGACGACGUCAAGUCAUCAUGGCCCUUAUGUCCUGGGCUACACACGUGCUACAAUGGCCGGUACAGAGCGCAGCGAGGCCGCGAGGCGGAGCGAAUCGCUUAAAGCCGGUCCCAGUACGGAUUGGAGUCUGCAACCCGACUCCAUGAAGUUGGAAUCGCUAGUAAUCGCGCAUCAGCAUGGCGCGGUGAAUACGUUCCCGGGCCUU